GGGGGGGGGGGGGGGGGGGGGGGGGGGGGGGGGGGCGGGGGGGGGGGGGAGGGGGGGGGGGGGCGGACGGGAGCGGCGGGGGGGGGAGGAACGCGGGGAUAGCCUACCUGGAAGACGGGGGGGGCUUCGGGAAACGGGAGCGAAUACCGGGUAACAUGGUGAACCGCGGGGGUCAACAGUGAAAGACGGUCGUGCUGUCACUUCUAGCGGCAUCCGCGCCGCAUUAGCUAGUUGGUAAGGUACCGGCUUACCAAGGCAACGCUGCGUAGCCGACCUGAGAGGGUGAUCGGCCACACUGGAACUGAGACACGGUCCAGACUCCUACGGGAGGCAGCAGUAGGGAAUCUGCCGCAAUGGGCGAAAGCCUGACGGAGCAACGCCGCGUGAGUGAAGAAGGUCUUCGGAUCGUAAACCUCUGUUAUUAGGGAAGAACAAAUGUGUAAGUAACUAUGCACGUCUUGACGGUACCUAAUCAGAAAGCCACGGCUAACUACGUG
Molecule: ribosomal RNA, 497 nt
Filed under: uncultured bacterium
Lineage: Bacteria
Description: partial 16S ribosomal RNA
Rfam family: Bacterial small subunit ribosomal RNA (bases 60-497)
Source: RNAcentral